GAUGAACGCUGGCGGCGUGCCUAACACAUGCAAGUCGAACGGGAAGCUUGACUUCGGUCGAGCGGAGAGUGGCGCACGGGUGAGUAACACGUAGCUGAUCUGCCUCAGAGAGUGGGAUAACGCACCGAAAGGUGUGCUAAUACCGCAUAAGCUCCCGGACUUUAGAGGUCUGAGAGAAAAGGCUCCGGCGCUCUGAGAUGAGGCUGCGGCCCAUCAGCUAGUUGGUAAGGUAACGGCUUACCAAGGCGACGACGGGUAGGGGACCUGAGAGGGUGGCCCCCCACACUGGGACUGAGACACGGCCCAGACUCCUACGGGAGGCAGCAGUGAGGAAUAUUGGUCAAUGGACGCAAGUCUGAACCAGCGACGCCGCGUGGGCGAUGAAGGUCUUCGGAUUGUAAAGCCCUUUUCUUGGUGAAGAGGAAGGACGGUAGCCAAGGAAUAAGUGUCGGCUAACUACGUGCCAGCAGCCGCGGUAAAACGUAGGACGCAAGCGUUAUCCGGAAUUACUGGGCGUAAAGCGCGCGCAGGCGGGUUAGCAAGUCAUUCGUGAAAGCUCCUGGCUAAACUGGGAGAGGUCGGAUGAUACUGUUAGCCUGGAGGGUGGUAGAGGCGUAUGGAAUUCCGCGUGUAGUGGUGAAAUGCGUAGAGAUGCGGAGGAACACCAGUGGCGAAGGCGGUACGCUGGGCCAUACCUGACGCUGAGGCGCGAAAGCAUGGGUAGCGAACGGGAUUAGAAACCCCGGUAGUCCAUGCCGUAAACGAUGUGUACUAGAUGUUCGAGCACCUACGGGUGAUUGAGUGUCGAAGCAAACGCGAUAAGUACACCGCCUGGGGAGUACGGUCGCAAGGCUAAAACUCAAAGGAAUUGACGGGGGCCCGCACAAGCAGCGGAGCGUGUGGUUUAAUUCGAGGCUACGCGAAGAACCUUACCUGGGUUUGACAUCAUAGUGAACAAAGGUGAAAGCCGGAGGUCCCUUCGGGGCACUAUGACAGGUGCUGCAUGGCUGUCGUCAGCUCGUGUCGUGAGAUGUUCGGUUAAGUCCGAAAACGAGCGCAACCCUCAGGUUUAGUUACAAGUGUCUAAACCGACUGCCUGCGACAAGCAGGAGGAAGGUGGGGAUGAUGUCAAGUCAGCAUGGCCUUUAUAUCCAGGGCUACACACACGCUACAAUGGCGCGUACAGUGGGUCGCGAAGCCGCGAGGUGGAGCCAAUCCUAAAAAGCGCGUCGUAGUUCGGAUUGCAGGCUGCAACUCGCCUGCAUGAAGUCGGAGUUGCUAGUAACCGCAGAUCAGCACGCUGCGGUGAAUACGUUCCCGGGCCUUGUACACACCGCCCGUCACGUCAUGGGAGCUGGUCACGCCUGAAGUCGGGAAGCUAACCUUACGGAGGCUACCGCCGAAGGCAGGGCCGGUGACUGGGACGAAGUCGUAACAAGGUAGCUGUAGCGGAAGC
This 1456-nucleotide ribosomal RNA is filed under the name uncultured Chloroflexota bacterium. RNAcentral describes it as "bacterial SSU rRNA". It matches the Rfam family "Bacterial small subunit ribosomal RNA". The record is from RNAcentral. Lineage: Bacteria; Bacillati; Chloroflexota.